RNAcentral lists this long non-coding RNA (211 nucleotides) under Elaeis guineensis (African oil palm). RNAcentral's name for it is "long non-coding RNA (EGUI_LNC047353)". The record is from RNAcentral. Lineage: Eukaryota; Viridiplantae; Streptophyta; Magnoliopsida; Arecales; Arecaceae.
UCUAAUAUAGUGAUGGAAGGCUACUGGGUAUAGUCAAAUACUUAUGAAGUCUGUGUGUAGAUCAAGAUGGGAUUGAUCCCUUUGGAUUAUUGGAGCUGAUGUAUCACUGUAUUUCAAUUUAGCAAAAGUCUUGGUCAGAGUAAUCCAUGAGAUAGAUUUGAAAGGUUGGAAUAUAAUGUAGAUAAAGCGAUCUUGGUUGACAGUUAACCUG